Molecule: transfer RNA, 72 nt
Filed under: Ovis aries (sheep)
Lineage: Eukaryota; Metazoa; Chordata; Mammalia; Artiodactyla; Bovidae
Rfam family: tRNA
About the family: Transfer RNA (tRNA) molecules are approximately 80 nucleotides in length.
Source: Rfam by way of RNAcentral
UCCCUGCUGGCUCAGAUGGUAAAGAAUCCGCCUGCAAUGCAGGAGACCUGGGUUUGAUCCCUGGGUGGGGAA